Mytilus californianus (California mussel) is the source of this 461-nucleotide long non-coding RNA. RefSeq lists it as uncharacterized. The record is from RefSeq and is a predicted model, not a curated record. Lineage: Eukaryota; Metazoa; Mollusca; Bivalvia; Mytilida; Mytilidae. The transcript has 3 exons.
UCCAGUACUAUAUGAAGGGGAACGGCGCAUCAACAUUAACAGUAAAAGCUGGGAAUAAAACAUCUUCUGUGACAAGGGUCUGGUACAAAGCAGGAGGGCAACCUGAUCCAGACAUGUGGAAAUUUGCUUCUAUAGAGAUACCACAAUAUAGUAAUCCGGUUAUCACCAUAGGAGGGGAUAUUUUUGGUUUUGUCGAAGGCGACAUUGCUAUUGAUGAUAUCUUGCUUGUUUCUGGUUCAUGUGAAGGCAGAAAGUAAACAGAAAACAGAAUAACCCUUAAAUUAUGCUGGUGUGAUAUUAACAGUUAUUUGAUCUUAAUAAAUUAUCAUGUGCUAUUAGGUAACUUGUAUAUUAUAAUGAUCAUGUGAUAUUGACAGUUACUUGGCCAUCAUAAAGACUAUGUAAUAUUCAGUAACUUGUUCAUUGUCUGUGCUAGCAAUUUUCAAAUAUAAUAAAUAUAA